UGUUGGUCAGUAUAAGCUUCCCUGC
This 25-nucleotide non-coding RNA is filed under the name Mus musculus (house mouse). Lineage: Eukaryota; Metazoa; Chordata; Mammalia; Rodentia; Muridae. The record is from RNAcentral.